CCUCCUGCGACGGAUUCUGUGCAGCUCCACCACUCUCCGUAACAGGCUCCAUGCGGCAGACCGCAGUAAUGGCCACGAUUCUGCUCCACUUUCUGCGACGGAUACUGUAUGGCUCCACCACUCCCAGGUGAGUCGCGACAACGGACGUCGCUCCACUCUUCGCAACAGACUCCACGUGGAGAGCCAUGAUGACAGCCAUGACUCCACCCC
RNAcentral lists this long non-coding RNA (210 nucleotides) under Elaeis guineensis (African oil palm). Its description in RNAcentral is "long non-coding RNA (EGUI_LNC035569)". Lineage: Eukaryota; Viridiplantae; Streptophyta; Magnoliopsida; Arecales; Arecaceae. The record is from RNAcentral.